GAUGAACGCUAGCGGCAGGCUUAAUACAUGCAAGUCGAGGGGCAGCAUGAGUAGCAAUACUUGAUGGCGACCGGCAAACGGGUGCGGAACACGUACACAACCUUCCUUCAAGCGAGGAAUAGCCCAGAGAAAUUUGGAUUAAUACCUCAUAGCAUAUUAGAGUGGCAUCACUUCUAUAUUAAAGAUUUAUCACUUGAAGAUGGGUGUGCGGCUGAUUAGAUAGUUGGCGGGGUAACGGCCCACCAAGUCUACGAUCAGUAGCUGAUGUGAGAGCAUGAUCAGCCACACGGGCACUGAGACACGGGCCCGACUCCUACGGGAGGCAGCAGUAAGGAAUAUUGGUCAAUGGACGAAAGUCUGAACCAGCCAUGCCGCGUGAAGGAUGAAGGUCCUCUGGAUUGUAAACUUCUUUUAUAUGGGACGAAAAAAGGUCAUUCUUGAUCACUUGACGGUACCAUUUGAAUAAGCACCGGCUAACUCCGUGCCAGCCGCCGCAGUAA
Molecule: ribosomal RNA, 500 nt
Filed under: uncultured bacterium
Lineage: Bacteria
Description: partial 16S ribosomal RNA
Rfam family: Bacterial small subunit ribosomal RNA
Source: RNAcentral